This 567-nucleotide long non-coding RNA is filed under the name Marmota monax (woodchuck). Lineage: Eukaryota; Metazoa; Chordata; Mammalia; Rodentia; Sciuridae. The record is from RNAcentral.
CUGUUUUUUAAAAAAUGUUUUUUGUCUUGUGUUUUCCCUAUAAUUUAAAAUAUUUAUGUUUUAUAUCAUUUGGAUUCCCCCAACCCUUAGAUUAUACAUACAGUCUCUUUAGCCAUGUCUGAGAUUUUUUUAAUUCAUAUUUGUAGUAAUUUGGAAUUCAUAUUGGCAUAUAGCACAAGUUAAGGAGCCAUCUCAUUUUUUCCCAUGUGGACAGUCAAGUUGUGUCAGUAUUAUACAUUUUUCUCACUGAGCUGAAACACUACUUUUCUCUAGAUGAGAUUCCCAUAACUGCAUACUCUACUUUGUCCUUUUAUUUUAAAGUCUCUUGUUGAAAAGUAAUGUAUUUUAGUUAAUUGGUUUUCUUUAAUCCUCUGUAUUUUAUUUUGCACUUUAAAAAACAUUUUUAGAAUGGCUCUGCAGGUCAUUUACUGUCAGACUGCCAUAGAGGCCUGAAAAAGCAGAGUUGUUAAUGGUGAGUGUCCUUAUAAAGUUUAGUCACUUGUAAGGCAUUUUUUUUUAACGUAUUAAGCUUAAAGAUUGCCUUUGUUCAUUAUUCCUAUUGAUGGG